AAACCCAUGCAGCCAACCCCAUCACACUAUUUUCGACGAAGUCCAAAUAAUCACAUACCCAAGAAUAUUUAUAUAUUUAAAAACAAAAAGUGUACACCCUAUAUUAAAAACUAUUUUUUUGUAUUUACAGCCAAGAAGGAUAACGGGCUCCUUAUGGACCCUGAAUGACUUCGUUGGAGCAGAUGACACAUUCGAUGACACAGAUGCAAUUCUCCCGUACUGCACAAACGUUUUUUACAACACACCGAGAACAGAGAAUUUAAACUUCCUGCCAACUCCCCCGGGAACCUCCACCCACUCUCUACACAUUCCAGGCCCCAACAAGCAACGCAUAACGAGGGCUCUUGUACAUUGCUCUAAAUCCACCCCCCAGAAAAGUACUACUGUGCAGGGAACUUGUGGCUUCACGAUCAGGCACUCCAUGGACACGGCUUGAAUAUGUUAAAACAAGGACAAAUGCAACGAGACCGGCCCUGCAGAAUCGGGAACAUUUGAUGAAAAAAGUCACGACCCCCGGUUUCCGCGACUCGUCAGAACAGCCCGCGCCCAAAAAGCAGAGACUCCUCCCCGGCGUAUAACGGCAAAUAAGACACCAUACAUCUAGAGCAGGGGGAUCCGGCUCACCGAACAUUCCCAAUGAAAACACCCAAAACGGCGGAUAUCCCUGUUUUAAAUGACAUUUCAGAGGCAGACGACCGGCUAUUAUGGGAUGCAGCCAACCUUCUAGAGUCUGCCAAUUCUACGGUGGCAACAUCCGGAUCUGAAAUAGAACAAGCAAGGUUUUUCACAGUCUUUUCCAGGGCUUUGAAAUCGAGGAAGGUUUUGCUACACAAACGAAUGAGGGUUUUACUUGAGAGACAGUACCGAGACGAUCUCUCAUUCUGGCAUAGGACAAUUCCACGCAUGUUAAACAGCAAACCGAUUAAAAACGCAAAUACAGGCGCUAAAAUCAUAUAUGUAACACGGAUCAUUCCAGAAAUACCCAAGAACGCACAUCCUUAAUUAUCCAAAUGGCAUAACCACCAGAACAAGUUGAGACAGUUUAAAGCCUCUUAUCACAGAUACCGCCAGAACUCCUUGAAAUUAUUAAUCGUAUGAACGAGGCGGGGUAACAGACAUAAUACCGAUAGAUGAAAGCAUAUUAUCACAGAUUCUAGCCGAACUUCUAGAAAUUAUUAAUCGUAUGAACGAGGCGGGGGUAUCAGACAUAAUACCGAUAGAUGAAAGCAUAUUAUCACAGAUUCUAGCCGAACUUCUAGAAAUGAUUAAUCGUAUGAACGAGUCAGGGACGCCCGAUGAAAACCUGUUAUCACAGAUUCCUGAAGCCCUCAUAUCCCUAAUUAAUCAGAUGAACGAGAGCCAGAUAUCUUCGGCAUCCCACACGCCAUCUUCGACAUCCCAACCGUUAACGCCCAUGUCCGUAGAGUCUGGAACGCAACACAAUGUUUUUGGGGAAUUGGAAAAUAGUCUAAUAAAUCAGGAGGGAGAUGGUAUUGAUCGAGGUGUCCGGGUUGUGUACCGAAAUAAAUUCAACAAUACAGAGAUUCGACAGUUUUUCAAUUUCACUUGGGUGAAUCAGAAUCUUGACAAUGCUGUGUUUUACGUAAUGAUAUUGGACACUCUGAACGAUCUGUUAGACAGGGCAAGAGAUUAUGGCGAACCACGUGAUGUCAUACAGUUGGAAAUUUGUGGAGAUAGCCUGCAUAACACGGUAUCUCUUAUUUUACCCAAUAGCGAAGCAGAUCUUGAACAAUUUAUCGCACCGCUUGAACGACUUGUUCAGUCAAAUUUAUCUGUCAUAGCAGAUCGGACCCUCGAGCUUGUAGUGCAAAUAAUACGUCAACCCCAGGGUGGUGGGGGUCAGAGAAGGAAGCUUGAUAGCCUAAUGCAGUCAGAAAUCAUGAGCAAUAAAAGGGCCUACCUCAUAAACAUUCACAAUCCAGGUAAUAAGCUAUGCUUUGCAAUAGGCCUAGCACAUUUACUCAACCCUGGAUGUACUGAUCUAGCGGCAUUGCAAAAGGCUAGAGAGCUCCAAACGGACGUGGGUCUCGGUAUACAGGAUGCUGUGGCUUUCACUGACAUAGUCAAAUUUGAAAACUUUCUGAAUAUCAAGAUUGUGGUUUUGUACCACAGUAGAGCUAAUGCAGCUCUCUUGAAGUUCCAAAACAACCCCCAACCUCAUCCUCAGAUUCUGUACUUUUAUGUGCAAAACGAACAUUACUAUGCCGUUACCAACAUCACUGCUUUUUUUUUAGGCGCACCAUAUGUGGUGCGCCUAAAACUCUUUUUUAACAACUCUUUUUUUAGUCAGGUCGUAAAUAAAUAUCAAUUACGGUCCCAUUCUCAUUUUCUUCUAACAGUACCAAAACUUAGAACAGGUCAUGGUCCUGGAAUUCUCUCCUGAACAUUUAAAAAUUUGAUGAUCUAGUUUCGUUGAUGGAGUUUAAACACUUAAUGUACAUAUCUUAGAAGAGUGUAAUUGUCUUUAGGCCAGUUUUUAGUCAAGACUUUCAUGUUUUUAAUGUCAAAUGUUUUUGUUGUAAUGUAUGUGUGUCUAUAGUUUUGUUUAAUGUUGUGUUAGUGUAUGUACGUUGUUUUGUCUGAAACGUUGUUCCCCCUGCUGCUAUUGGACCAGG
Molecule: long non-coding RNA, 2636 nt
Organism: Oncorhynchus tshawytscha (Chinook salmon)
Lineage: Eukaryota; Metazoa; Chordata; Actinopteri; Salmoniformes; Salmonidae
Source: Ensembl